GGGGGAUUAGCUCAGUCUGGGAGAGCGUCGCGCUGGCAGCGCGAAGGUCAGGGGUUCGAGCCCCCUAUCCUCCACCA
RNAcentral lists this transfer RNA (77 nucleotides) under Oscillospiraceae bacterium. RNAcentral describes it as "tRNA-Ala". It matches the Rfam family "tRNA". From Rfam's summary of the family: Transfer RNA (tRNA) molecules are approximately 80 nucleotides in length. Their secondary structure includes four short double-helical elements and three loops (D, anti-codon, and T loops). Further hydrogen bonds mediate the characteristic L-shaped molecular structure. tRNAs have two regions of fundamental functional importance: the anti-codon, which is responsible for specific mRNA codon recognition, and the 3' end, to which the tRNAs corresponding amino acid is attached (by aminoacyl-tRNA synthetases). tRNAs cope with the degeneracy of the genetic code in two manners: having more than one tRNA (with a specific anti-codon) for a particular amino acid; and 'wobble' base-pairing, i.e. permitting non-standard base-pairing at the 3rd anti-codon position. Lineage: Bacteria; Bacillati; Bacillota; Clostridia; Eubacteriales; Oscillospiraceae. The record is from RNAcentral.